CUUACCGGAGGCUAUAUGGACCCUGAUCCCGCCCCUCUCCCGCGACGGAGAACCUUCUCAUUCCGGUAAGCCUGUUCAUCGUCUUACCGGAUGCGUAAGACGGUGACGUUC
Molecule: non-coding RNA, 111 nt
Filed under: uncultured Enterobacter sp.
Lineage: Bacteria; Pseudomonadati; Pseudomonadota; Gammaproteobacteria; Enterobacterales; Enterobacteriaceae
Description: Magnesium Sensor
Rfam family: Magnesium riboswitch aptamer (Magnesium responsive RNA element)
About the family: The Magnesium sensor RNA element is a cis-regulatory element that regulates the expression of the magnesium transporter protein MgtA. It is located in the 5' UTR of this gene.
Source: RNAcentral